This 497-nucleotide ribosomal RNA is filed under the name uncultured bacterium. RNAcentral describes it as "partial 16S ribosomal RNA". It matches the Rfam family "Bacterial small subunit ribosomal RNA", at positions 28 to 507 of the family's 1533-position model. The record is from RNAcentral.
GAUGAACGCUGGCGGCGUGCCUAAUACAUGCAAGUCGAGCGAACAGACGAGGAGCUUGCUCCUCUGACGUUAGCGGCGGACGGGUGAGUAACACGUGGAUAACCUACCUAUAAGACUGGGGUAACUUCGGGAAACCGGAGCUAAAACCGGAUAAUAUAUUGAACCGCAUGGUUCAAUAGUGAAAGACGGUUUUGCUGUCACUUAUAGAUGGAUCCGCGCCGCAUUAGCUAGUUGGUAAGGUAACGGCUUACCAAGGCAACGAUGCGUAGCCGACCUGAGAGGGUGAUCGGCCACACUGGAACUGAGACACGGUCCAGACUCCUACGGGAGGCAGCAGUAGGGAAUCUUCCGCAAUGGGCGAAAGCUUGACGGAGCAACGCCGCGUGAGUGAUGAAGGUCUUCGGAUCGUAAAACUCUGUUAUUAGGGAAGAACAAAUGUGUAAGUAACUAUGCACGUCUUGACGGUACCUAAUCAGAAAGCCACGGCUAACUACGUG